AUGCAGCAGCAGGUCAUUGCGGCCUUCCAUGACACCCCGCUUGGUGGCCACUCUGGGUUUCCGGUCACAUGGCGUCAUGUGCGUCGACUGUUCGCUUGGCCUAAGAUGAAGACUCACAUACAGCACUAUGUCAAAUGCUGCCUGACCUGUCAACAGGCGAAGCCAGACCGUGCAGCCUACCCAGGGCUGCUCGAACCAUUACUAGUACCCAAGGAAUCCUGGGAAAUGAUCAGUAUGGAUUUUGUUGAUGGUCUACCACCUUCUGGAGGAGUGAAUUGCAUUAUGGUCAUUGUCGACAAACUAACUAAGUUUGCUCACUUUCUUCCAUUGGCACACCCAUAUACAGCUUCGAAGGUCGCCCUUCUCUACAUGAACCAAGUGUACAGGCUGCAUGGGUUCCCCGGCUCCAUCGUCUCCGAUCGAGAUCCGGUAUUUACCAGUCACUUCUGGCAGGAACUAUUCAAAUAUGCAGGCACUGGCCUCCGCAUGAGCUCUGCCAAUCACCCCCAGACUAACAGGCAAACCGAGCGGGUAAACCAGUGUCUAGAGACAUUCCUUUGGUGUUUCACUCAAGUAUGCCCGCGCCGUUGGAGCUUCUGGAUCCCUCUGGCUCAGUUCUGGUACAAUUCUUCGUAUCACUCUUCCUUUGGAAUGUCUCCGUUCCGAGCAAUGUAUGGUCAUGAACCUCGGCAGUGGGGAAUCACGGCAACAAGCGCCUGCUCAGUGACCGCUCUACGCUCUUGGUUGGAUGAGCGCAAUGGUACAGGACCUGCUGCAGCAGCACCUAAACCGAGCUCGCCAAGUUAUGAAACAGCAAGCUGA
This 822-nucleotide ribosomal RNA is filed under the name Triticum aestivum (bread wheat). RNAcentral describes it as "partial small subunit ribosomal RNA". Lineage: Eukaryota; Viridiplantae; Streptophyta; Magnoliopsida; Poales; Poaceae. The record is from RNAcentral.